UACGGAAGGCAGCAGUGGGGAAUAUUGCACAAUGGGCGAAAGCCUGAUGCAGCUAUGCCGCGUGUAUGAAGAAGGCCUUAGGGUUGUAAAGUACUUUCAUCGGGGAGGAAAAAACAAAACUAAUAAUUUUAUUUCUUGACGUUACCCGAAAAAGAAGCACCGGCUAACUCCGUGCCAGCAGCCGCGGUAAUACGGAGGGUGCUAGCGUUAAUCAGAAUUACUGGGCGUAAAGAGCACGUAGGUGGUUUUUUUAAGUCAGAUGUGAAAUCCCUGGGCUUAACCUAGGAACUGCAUUUUGAAACUGAAAUACUAGAGUAUCGUAGAGGGAGGUAGAAUUCUAGGUGUAGCGGUGAAAUGCGUAGAUAUCUGGAGGAAUACCUGUGGCGAAAGCGGCCUCCUAAACGAAUACUGACACUGAGGUGCGAAAGCUGGGGAGCAAAACAGGGAUUAGAUACC
RNAcentral lists this ribosomal RNA (456 nucleotides) under uncultured bacterium. RNAcentral's name for it is "bacterial SSU rRNA". It matches the Rfam family "Bacterial small subunit ribosomal RNA", at positions 340 to 786 of the family's 1533-position model. The record is from RNAcentral.